RNAcentral lists this ribosomal RNA (495 nucleotides) under uncultured bacterium. RNAcentral's name for it is "bacterial SSU rRNA". It matches the Rfam family "Bacterial small subunit ribosomal RNA", at positions 293 to 793 of the family's 1533-position model. The record is from RNAcentral.
UGUGUGCCUUGCCCCCACGACUACGCUAUCACUCCUACGGGAGGCAGCAGUGGGGAAUAUUGCACAAUGGGGGAAACCCUGAUGCAGCCAUGCCGCGUGUGUGAAGAAGGCCUUCGGGUUGUAAAGCACUUUCAGUAGGGAGGAAGGUAGUGUAGUUAACACCUGCACUAUUUGACGUUACCUACAGAAGAAGCACCGGCUAACUCCGUGCCAGCAGCCGCGGUAAUACGGAGGGUGCGAGCGUUAAUCGGAAUUACUGGGCGUAAAGCGCAUGCAGGCGGCCUGUUAAGUCAGAUGUGAAAGCCCGGGGCUUAACCUCGGAAUUGCAUUUGAAACUGGCAGGCUAGAGUCUUGUAGAGGGGGUAGAAUUUCAGGUGUAGCGGUGAAAUGCGUAGAGAUCUGAAGGAAUACCAGUGGCGAAGGCGGCCCCCUGGACAAAGACUGACGCUCAGAUGCGAAAGCGUGGGGAGCAAACAGGAUUAGAUACCCUGGUAG